UGGGGAAUAUUGCACAAUGGACGGAAGUUUGAUGCAGCGACGCCGCGUGGAGGGCGUAGGCCUUCGGGUUGUGAACUCCUUUUUCUCGCGAAAAAGGCACAGUUUUGGCUGUGUUGAUGGUAGUGGGGGAAGAAGCGCCGGCUAACUACGUGCCAGCAGCCGCGGUAAUACGUAGGGCGCGAGCGUUGUCCGGAUUUAUUGGGCGUAAAGAGCUCGUAGGUGGUUCGUCGCGUCUGUCGUGAAAGCCAGCAGCUUAACUGUUGGUCUGCGGUGGGUACGGGGGGGGUUGAGGGCGGUAGGGGUGACUGGAAUUCCUGGUGUAGCGGUGGAAUGCGCCGAUAUCAGGGGGAACACCGAUGGCGAAGGGAGGUCACUGGGCCGUUACUGACCCCGGGGAGCGAAAGCGUGGGGAGCGAACAGG
Molecule: ribosomal RNA, 421 nt
Filed under: Fusobacteriota bacterium
Lineage: Bacteria; Fusobacteriati; Fusobacteriota
Description: Fusobacteria bacterium partial 16S ribosomal RNA
Rfam family: Bacterial small subunit ribosomal RNA
Source: RNAcentral